AACCAGCUCUUCAAGUGGUCGGGAUAAUUAUUGGGCUUAAAGUGUCCGUAGCCGGUUUAGUAAGUUCCUGGUAAAAUCGGGUAGCUUAACUAUCCGCGUGCUAGGAAUACUGCUAUACUAGAGGGCGGGAGAGGUCUGAGGUACUACUGGGGUAGGGGUGAAAUCUUAUAAUCCUAGUAGGACCACCAGUGGCGAAGGCGUCAGACUGGAACGCGCCUGACGGUGAGGGACGAAAGCCAGGGGAGCGAACCGGAUUAGAUACCCGGGUAGUCCUGGCCGUAAACGAUGCAUACUAGGUGAUGGCACGGCCAUGAGCCGUGUCAGUGCCGUAGGGAAACCGUUAAGUGUGCCGCCUGGGAAGUACGGUCGCAAGGCUAAAACUUAAAGGAAUUGGCGGGGGAGCACCACAAGGGGUGAAGCCUGCGGUUU
This 429-nucleotide ribosomal RNA is filed under the name uncultured archaeon. Its description in RNAcentral is "bacterial SSU rRNA". It matches the Rfam family "Archaeal small subunit ribosomal RNA", at positions 474 to 903 of the family's 1478-position model. The record is from RNAcentral.